CAUACGACCGUACCGCAAACCGACACUGGUGCGCGAGAUGAGUAUUCUAAGGCGCUUGAGAGAACUCAGGAGAAGGAACUCGGCAAAUUGACACCGUAACUUCGGAAGAAGGUGUGCCCUAUUAGUGUGUAGUGAACAACGAAGCAUGAAUGGGUUGCAAAAAAUCGGUGGCUGCGACUGUUUAUUAAAAACACAGCACUCUGCAAACACGAAAGUGGACGUAUAGGGUGUGACGCCUGCCCGGUGCUGGAAGAUUAAAUGAUGGGGUGCAAGCUCUUGAUUGAAGUCCCAGUAAACGGCGGCCGUAACAAUAACGGUCCUAAGGUAGCGAAAUUCCUUGUCGGGUAAGUUCCGACCUGCACGAAUGGCGUAACGAUGGCCACACUGUCUCCUCCUGAGACUCAGCGAAGUUGAAAUGUUUGUGAUGAUGCAAUCUCCCCGCGGAAAGACGGAAAGACCCCAUGAACCUUUACUGUAGCUUUGUAUUGGACUUUGAACAGAUCUGUGUAGGAUAGGUGGGAGGCUUUGAAGCAGGGUCGCUAGAUCUUGUGGAGCCAACGUUGAAAUACCACCCUGGUGUGUUUGAGGUUCUAACCUAGGUCCAUUAUCUGGAUCGGGGACAGUGCAUGGUAGGCAGUUUGACUGGGGCGGUCUCCUCCCAAAGCGUAACGGAGGAGUUCGAAGGUACGCUAGUUACGGUCGGACAUCGUGACGAUAGUGCAAUGGCAUAAGCGUGCUUAACUGCGAGACUGACAAGUCGAGCAGAUGCGAAAGCAGGACAUAGUGAUCCGGUGGUUCUGUAUGGAAGGGCCAUCGCUCAACGGAUAAAAGGUACUCUGGGGAUAACAGGCUGAUACCGCCCAAGAGUUCAUAUCGACGGCGGUGUUUGGCACCUCGAUGUCGCCUCAUCUCAUCCUGGGGCUGUAGCCGGUCCCAAGGGUAUGGCUGUUCGCCAUUUAAAGAGGUACGUGAGCUGGGUUUAAAACGUCGUGAGACAGUUUGGUCCCUAUCUUCCGUGGGCGCUGCAGAUUUGAGGAAGCCUGCUCCUAGUACGAGAGACCGGAGUGGACACACCUCUGGUGUAUCGGUUGUCACGCCAGUGGCAUUGCCGAGUAGCUAAGUGUGGAAGAGAUAACCGCUGAAAGCAUCUAAGCGGGAAACUCGUUUCAAGAUGAGAUCUGCCGGGGCCUUGAGCCCCCUAAAGAGUCGUUCAAGACCAGGACGUUGAUAGGUCAGGUGUGGAAGC
RNAcentral lists this ribosomal RNA (1246 nucleotides) under metagenome. RNAcentral describes it as "bacterial LSU rRNA". It matches the Rfam family "Bacterial large subunit ribosomal RNA", at positions 1635 to 2874 of the family's 2925-position model. The record is from RNAcentral.